Molecule: RNA transcript, 1865 nt
Organism: Glossina fuscipes
Lineage: Eukaryota; Metazoa; Arthropoda; Insecta; Diptera; Glossinidae
Gene name: zinc finger protein 33B-like
Exons: 4
Source: RefSeq, a predicted model, not a curated record
UAAAAUAGUAUUUGACAAAAUGUGUGAAAUGUUGCGUAAAAUAUUAUACUAUGAAAAUGUAUUAGAAUUCAAAGUGAAUACUAAAAGCUCCUUACAGCCUGAAGAUGUUAACAAUUGGCAAUUGUGCCGUACUUGCUUGUGCGAAAUAGAUCUCGACGAUAGUUUGUCCAUCAAUGCAAUGGUCAUCGAUACAAUUCAAGAAAAAUUUCUGAAUAUUAAAGAAAUGCUUCAACUUUCUAUAGGAUAUACUAUAAAUCUUGAUCAUCCUUUACCGUCGAUGGUUUGCAAGUCAUGCGUCAGUAAAAUAACUAAAUUAUAUUACCUUACCGUUCAAAUUAAAAGAGCUGAAAACGUUUUAAAAUCGCUUUAUCAAAAUUUGAAUUCAUGCGAAGAGAACGAAUCAGAAAAUAAUGAAAGCUUAAACCCAAUUAAUGUAAAAGAUAGAAAAGAGUUAUCAACAACACCAAUAGAAUAUGAACAGUACGAAGUUUUAGAAGACAUUGAACUAUUGAGCUCAGAAGAAAAUGAUCCCAAUGAUGGUAAGCGAGAUGACGAUAAUGCUGACCUGUUGAGUGACAUUCCGCAAGGAAGUCUUGAAACAUAUGAACUAGUGCCGGCGAACGCCGAUGACGAAUUAUUUACUUUUGAGGACAUUAUUAAGUCGGAGGAAGAAGGAGCACAUUUAUCAGAAGAAGAAACGCCAAUUGUGGAGGAAAAUAAAGACAAUAAGGAAGGUACAAAAUCAAAGAAACCAGAAGAUGUUAAUAGUUUUAAAAAACGUUUACCCAUGCGUUAUAAACACAAACAACCUCGAGUAAAACGACCACUUUUAACCGAUCUUACGUGUUCAGUUUGUUCGCAAAGUUUCUAUAUUCAACGCGAUCUUGUACAGCACGUACAGCAGACGCAUCCCAGUGCGAAGGCCUUCAAAUGUCGUGAUUGUGGUCAAAAGUUUACACAUAUGCAAUCAUUGUCACGUCACAUGAAUACUCAUAAAACAUCCCUUUUUAAAUACGAAUGUAAAUAUUGUAUAAAAACAUUUGCGCGCAUUGAUGGCUUAAUACGACACCAUCGCACACAUACUGGCGAACGGCCGUAUGGAUGCGAUUUUUGCGAUAAGACCUUCAAGCAACGAACUGAGUUGAACGCUCAUGCCUUGACACAUGUAAACCACAAAAUGUUUGCCUGUAAUAUUUGUGAUCGUUUACUGUCAUCCCGCAACGGCUUGUAUUUGCACAAGAAAAAUCAUGAAAAUCGAAUUGGUCGCUCUAAAGUGAAAUUGAAACAACAAAUUAAAGAACAUGAAGACAAUUUAGAAAUUUAUCUAAUUAAACAAACUGAAGAGUGAAACAUGUGCACGUUUAUGUAUAUAUAUAUAUGGCAAAGCAAAAAGGAAACGCGGGAAGUAUGCAGCGCGAGCAGAGCUGAAUGAGUUAGUUAGCAAUGAGUAAAUCGAAUAUCUUGACAUUUUCCCAUUUGCAUAGAUAAAAGCAACUUCAAACAUCUUUCUUCAAAUAAUCAACUGAAACAAAUGAUAAGUUGUCGUUAAUAACAUACUCUCUUCAAGUAUGUAUAUGUGGCUGUGGAUAUUUUAUGUGUAUUUUAUUGGGGAUCAAAACCUUUGAUUCUGGACAAGGCGACGUUAUGCCGAUGAUGUUGAUGAUUUUGUUUGCAGUUGAUUGCUGUGGUAUUGCUUAUCGUCGCAUUGGUGGUACGCUGGCAACACGGUACAUACUAAUAUGCCGCACGCUCCAGACGUGUCGCCACAAUUUGCCGCCAACUGGCGUCGGUGAACUGUUUUCGUUUUUUUUUUUUUUCAUAUUUUAUUUUCUUUAUUUUUUAUUUAUAUUUAUUUGUUUAUUUAU